This is a non-coding RNA of Pseudonaja textilis, 152 nucleotides long. Lineage: Eukaryota; Metazoa; Chordata; Lepidosauria; Squamata; Elapidae. The record is from RefSeq and is a predicted model, not a curated record.
UUCACACAAGGAAAGCAGGGGCAGCGAGGCAGAGGAACAAGGGGAGCCUGUUCCCAGUGCGCGUGUGCACAGAGCUGCUAAAAGGCAAGAGCAACUGAGACAAAAGAGGUGACUCGGAAAUAAGGCUUGGAGAUGAUUGCCCCUCCCCCAAG